Molecule: ribosomal RNA, 357 nt
Filed under: uncultured eukaryote
Lineage: Eukaryota
Description: LSU rRNA
Rfam family: Bacterial large subunit ribosomal RNA
Source: RNAcentral
UUCGGGCUUUAUUUGCGCAGGAUAGGUGGGAGGCUUUGAGAGUGUUUUUGAGGGAACAUUUGAGCCAUUGGUGAGAUACCACUCUUAUAAAGCUAGAAUUCUAACCUUAUACCGUUAGCCGGUUAAGGAACAGUCUCUGGUGGGCAGUUUGACUGGGGCGGUCGCCUCCUAAAAGGUAACGGAGGCGCACAAAGGUUUCCUCAGAUCGGUCAGAAAUCGAUCGUAGAGCGUAAAGGCAUAAGGAAGCUUGACUGCGAGACCUACAAGUCGAGCAGAGACGAAAGUCGGUCUUAGUGAUCUGACGGUUCCGAGUGGAAGGGCCGUCACUCAACGGAUAAAAGUUACUCUAGGGAUAAC